GCUCAGAACGAACGUUAGCGGCGCGCCUAACACAUGCAAGUCGCACGAGAAAGGGCUUCGGCCCCGGUACAGUGGCGCACGGGUGAGUAACACGUAGAUCAUCUCCCCUCGAGUGGUGGAUAACUCUCCGAAAGGAGAGCUAAUACAGCAUAAGACCACGGCUUCGCUGAAGCUGCGGCCAAAGCAGGCCUCUACACGUAAGCUUGCGCUUGAGGAUGAGUCUGCGGCCCAUCAGCUAGUUGGUAGGGUAAUGGCCUACCAAGGCUAAGACGGGUAGCUGGUCUGAGAGGAUGAACAGCCACACUGGAACUGAGACACGGUCCAGACUCCUACGGGAGGCAGCAGUAGGGAAUCUUGCGCAAUGGGCGAAAGCCUGACGCAGCGACGCCGCGUGAGCGAUGAAGGCCUUCGGGUUGUAAAGCUCUGUGGGGAGGAAAGAAUAAGGUUUGGCUAAUAUCCAAGCUGAUGACGGUACCUCCUUAGCAAGCACCGGCUAACUCUGUGCCAGCAGCCGCGGUAAGACAGAGGGUGCAAACGUUGUUCGGAAUUACUAGGCGUAAAGCGCGUGUAGGCGGCCCUGUAAGUCGGGUGUGAAAUCCCACGGCUCAACCGUGGAAGUGCACUCGAAACUACAGGGCUAGAGUCCUGGAGAGGAAGGUGGAAUGCUUGGUGUAGAGGUGAAAUUCGUAGAUAUCAAGCGGAACACCGGUGGCGAAGGCGGCCUUCUGGACAGUGACUGACGCUGAGACGCGAAAGCGUGGGGAGCAAACAGGAUUAGAUACCCUGGUAGUCCACGCCGUAAACGAUGAGUGCUAGGUGUCACGGGCUUUGACCCUCGUGGUGCCGAAGCUAACGCGUUAAGCACUCCGCCUGGGGAGUACGGCCGCAAGGCUA
RNAcentral lists this ribosomal RNA (894 nucleotides) under uncultured bacterium. RNAcentral's name for it is "bacterial SSU rRNA". It matches the Rfam family "Bacterial small subunit ribosomal RNA", at positions 22 to 896 of the family's 1533-position model. The record is from RNAcentral.